GCAGUGGGGCGAUCGGUCGCAUGGCGAAAUACAAUUCGUCAUGAGGAAAGUCCGGACUCUAAGGGCAAGGUGCCGGUUAAUUGCCGGGAGGAGUAAUCCUCGGAAUAGGGCCAUAGAAAUGAAAACCGCCAUUCUUGGCAAGGGUGGAACGGUGAGGUAAGAGCUCACCAGCAUCAGGGUAACCUGAUGGCUUGGUAACCCCCACCUUGAGCAAGGUCAAAUAGGAAGAGUAAGCUUGCCCGGCAUGCUUUUUAGCCUCUUCCAGGUAGACCGCUUAGAUAAAUGACCGAUAAAACAGAAUCCGGCUUAUAGCCCCACUGUUUUU
RNAcentral lists this RNase P RNA (325 nucleotides) under Marinitoga sp. 1197. RNAcentral describes it as "bacterial RNase P". It matches the Rfam family "Bacterial RNase P class A". Rfam says of the family: Ribonuclease P (RNase P) is a ubiquitous endoribonuclease, found in archaea, bacteria and eukarya as well as chloroplasts and mitochondria. Its best characterised activity is the generation of mature 5'-ends of tRNAs by cleaving the 5'-leader elements of precursor-tRNAs. The record is from RNAcentral. Lineage: Bacteria; Thermotogati; Thermotogota; Thermotogae; Petrotogales; Petrotogaceae.